RNAcentral lists this ribosomal RNA (404 nucleotides) under bacterium. Its description in RNAcentral is "partial 16S ribosomal RNA". It matches the Rfam family "Bacterial small subunit ribosomal RNA", at positions 355 to 776 of the family's 1533-position model. The record is from RNAcentral.
UGGGGAAUAUUGGACAAUGGGCGAAAGCCUGAUCCAGCCAUGCCGCGUGGGUGAAGAAGGCCCUAGGGUUGUAAACCCCUUUCAGCGGGGAAGAUAAUGACGGUACCCGCAGAAGAAGCCCCGGCUAACUCCGUGCCAGCAGCCGCGGUAAUACGGAGGGGGCUAGCGUUGUUCGGAAUUACUGGGCGUAAAGCGCGCGUAGGCGGACCUGCAAGUCGGGGGUGAAAGCCCGAGGCUCAAUCUCGGAACUGCCUUCGAUACUGCGGGUCUCGAGUCCGGGAGAGGUGAGUGGAAUUCCUAGUGUAGAGGUGAAAUUCGUAGAUAUUAGGAAGAACACCAGUGGCGAAGGCGGCUCACUGGCCCGGUACUGACGCUGAGGCGCGAAAGCGUGGGGAGCAAACAGG